AGUGAAAGUAGCAGUUCCUCCUGAAGGUCAGAGAUCGCAGCAUCUGAGGGCCUCUUCAAAAGAAGACGUAGUUGAUGAAGGCGUUCUGGAGCAGGACCAGAAAGACCACGACCAAGCAGCCUUGAGAUCUUAGGCAGCGUCUCCCUCAGGUCCCUCUCUAUCUCCCCACAUCCACCAACCACUGGAACACAUCUCCAAAGUUCUGCUGGACCAGCUCAGCUUCCCCUCAGAAGAAGUGCUGCCACCUGCCAGAUGAAGGAGCCUUUUGAGAGGCAGCUGGCAUCGUGAUUGGACUGUACUUUGGUUUGUUCCAAUCCAGCUUCAGCUCCAGAGACGGCAGGCGGGACGAGUCAACGGAGGCCGGGUGGACAAAGACCAAAGAACUACAGACUCUUCACAACCUGCUCAAACUCUUGGUACAGGACCUCACCACACGGGUCAAG
Molecule: long non-coding RNA, 443 nt
Organism: Amphiprion ocellaris (clown anemonefish)
Lineage: Eukaryota; Metazoa; Chordata; Actinopteri; Pomacentridae
Source: Ensembl